GCGCGAAAACUUUACAAUGCGGGAAACCGUGAUAAGGGGAUCUCGAGUGCCAGCAUAUAAUGUUGGCUGUCCAGAUGCCUAAAAAGCAUCUGUUAGCAAGGGCCGGGCAAGACCGGUGCCAGCCGCCGCGGUAACACCGGCGGCCCGAGUGGUAACCGCUAUUAUUGGGUCUAAAGGGUCUGUAGCCGGCCAGGUAAGUCCCUUGGGAAAUCUGGCAGCUCAACUGUCAGGCUGCUAGGGGAUACUGUUUGGCUUGGGACCGGGAGAGGUGAGAGGUACCUUGGGGGUAGGGGUGAAAUCUUGUGAUCCUCGAGGGACCACCAGUGGCGAAGGCGUCUCACCAGAACGGGUCCGACGGUAAGGGACGAAAGCUAGGGGCACGAACCGGAUUAGAUACCCGGGUAGUCCUAGCCGUAAACGAUGCUCGCUAGGUGUCAGUCACGGUGCGACCGUGAUUGGUGCCGUAGGGAAGCCGUGAAGCGAGCCACCUGGGAAGUAUGGCCGCAAGGCUGAAACUUAAAGGAAUUGGCGGGGGAGCACUACAACGGGUGGAGCCUGCGGUUUAAUUGGAUUCAACGCCGGAAAUCUCACCGGGGGCGACAGCAAUAUGAAGGUCAGGCUGAAGACCUUACCGGAUUAGCU
This 642-nucleotide ribosomal RNA is filed under the name uncultured Methanosaeta sp. RNAcentral's name for it is "bacterial SSU rRNA". It matches the Rfam family "Archaeal small subunit ribosomal RNA", at positions 339 to 981 of the family's 1478-position model. Lineage: Archaea; Methanobacteriati; Methanobacteriota; Methanomicrobia; Methanotrichales; Methanotrichaceae. The record is from RNAcentral.